GACGUAGGGAGCGAGCGUUGUCCGGAUUCAUUGGGCGUAAAGAGCGCGUAGGCGGUUUGGUAAGUCGGAUGUGAAAACACGAGGCUCAACCUCGUGCGUGCAUCCGAUACUGCCCGACUAGAGGUAGGUAGGGGAGAUCGGAAUUCCUGGUGUAGCGGUGAAAUGCGCAGAUAUCAGGAGGAACACCGGUGGCGAAGGCGGAUCUCUGGGCCUUACCUGACGCUGAGGCGCGAAAGCUAGGGGAGCAAACAGG
This 253-nucleotide ribosomal RNA is filed under the name uncultured bacterium. RNAcentral's name for it is "partial 16S ribosomal RNA". It matches the Rfam family "Bacterial small subunit ribosomal RNA", at positions 524 to 776 of the family's 1533-position model. The record is from RNAcentral.